CUUUUCCAUAUUCACAUGCCAUGCAUAUAUACAUCACAUAAAAGAAUAAUUUAUUCUUAUUUUAUAACUAUUCGUGGGUCCCACUCCAUUUUAGAUAACCAACAACAUACAAUGCAUCCUUUUCAUACUUUUCUCUCUCCUGCCAUGCAUAAUUAAGUAGCAGAAAUCUAUAUUCCACGUUUUUCAUUUAUACCCAUGAAUCAACUACAACAAAGUGACAUAUAGAAAUUGUUUUCUCCUUUCCCUUCACUCACGCGGUUCUAUAUAACAAGCACACAGUCAAAAUAAUUCAUACCCUUUCUAUCUCAUGCAAUAGUGAUAGACAAUAAAACAUUACAUCUCCUCUCCUGCAACCCAAAACUCUACUCAUAUACAUAAAUAUAUAAAACACAACCACUCCAUGAGUACACUUAAACCAAAAUUGGUGCUGCAUUCGGUAGAACACAACACUCUACCCUAAUACGUCUACCCAUAGUAGAUAGUGUGCCUCGACGUCUAAAAAGA
RNAcentral lists this long non-coding RNA (504 nucleotides) under Vigna radiata. RNAcentral's name for it is "long non-coding RNA (VRAD_LNC013292)". Lineage: Eukaryota; Viridiplantae; Streptophyta; Magnoliopsida; Fabales; Fabaceae. The record is from RNAcentral.